CAUUGAAACACUGGUUCCCAUAGGGUCACUGAAGUUAAGCAAUGUCGAGCCUGGUUGCUACCUAGAUGAGUCACUGCUUUGGAAUACCAGGUGCUGUAAG
Acanthosepion pharaonis is the source of this 100-nucleotide non-coding RNA. NCBI's taxonomy places the organism in Eukaryota, Metazoa, Mollusca, Cephalopoda, Sepiida, Sepiidae. The record is from the annotation of a GenBank genome assembly.